RNAcentral lists this ribosomal RNA (499 nucleotides) under uncultured bacterium. Its description in RNAcentral is "bacterial SSU rRNA". It matches the Rfam family "Bacterial small subunit ribosomal RNA", at positions 40 to 507 of the family's 1533-position model. The record is from RNAcentral.
CGGCGUGCUUGAUACAUGCAAGUCGAACGGUCGAGCAUAAAGAAGAAGGUAGUGAGCGGGUAGCGGGUGAGAAAUCAUUCAAAGCCCGUGAGCUACUGGGAGCUUGGCGCUUGGCAGUGGCGGACGGGUGAGUAACACGUAGGAAUCCUGCCCCGAGGUGGGGAAUAACUGACCGAAAGGUUAGCUAAUACCGCAUAAGAUCCGAGAGGAUGAAAGGCGCGAGUCGCCUUGGGAUGAGCCUGCGUCCGAUUAGCUAGUUGGUGGGGUAACGGCCCACCAAGGCAGAGAUCGGUAGCUGAUCUGAGAGGAUGAUCAGCCACACUGGAACUGAGAAACGGUCCAGACUCCUACGGGAGGCAGCAGUAAGGGAUAUUGCACAAUGGGCGAAAGCUUGAUGCAGCAACGCCGCGUGCGCGACGAAGGCCUUCGGGUCGUAAAGCGCUUUUCCAGGGGAAGAGGAAGGACAGUACCCUGGGAAUAAGUCUCGGCUAACUACGUG